CUGUCGUGCCAAGAAAAGCCACUAAGUAUAUUAUAUGUUGCCCGUACCGCAAACCGACACAGGUGGGUGGGAUGAGUAUUCUAAGGCGCGUGGAAGAACCCCCUUUAAGGAACUCUGCAAACUAGCACCGUAUCUUCGGUAUAAGGUGUGCCUACUAUUGUAUAUGGACUUGCUCCAAAAAGCGAUAGAGGUUGCAACAAAGAGUCCCUCCCGACUGUUUACCAAAAACACAGCACUUUGCUAACACGUAAGUGGAUGUAUAAGGUGUGACGCCUGCCCGGUGCUCGAAGGUUAACUGAUGAUGUCAGCGUAAGCGAAGCAUUUGAUUGAAGCCCGAGUAAACGGCGGCCGUAACUAUAACGGUCCUAAGGUAGCGAAAUUCCUUGUCGGUUAAAUACCGACCUGCAUGAAUGGCGUAACGAGAUGGGAGCUGUCUCAAAGGGGGAUCCAGUGAAAUUGUAGUGGAGGUGAAAAUUCCUCCUACCCGCGGAAAGACGGAAAGACCCCGUGCACCUUUACUACAGCUUGACACUGUAGCUUGGAUAUUCAUGUGCAGGAUAGGUGGGAGGCUAUGAUGACUAGACGCAAGUAGAGUCGGAGCCACCCUUGAGAUACCACCCUUGAAUAUUUGAGUUACUAACUGCGUACAAUUAUCUUGUAUCAGGACAAUGUCUGGUGGGUAGUUUGACUGGGGCGGUCGCCUCCUAAAAAGUAACGGAGGCUUACAAAGGUUAGUUCAAAGCGGAUGGAAAUCGCUUGUUGAGUAUAAUGGUAUAAACUAGCUUGACUGUGAGACAUACAAGUCGAACAGAGACGAAAGUCGGUCAUAGUGAUCCGGUGGUUCUGUGUGGAAGGGCCAUCGCUCAAAGGAUAAAAGGUACGCCGGGGAUAACAGGCUGAUCUCCCCCAAGAGCUCACAUCGACGGGGAGGUUUGGCACCUCGAUGUCGGCUCAUCGCAUCCUGGGGCUGGAGCAGGUCCCAAGGGUAUGGCUGUUCGCCAUUUAAAGCGGUACGCGAGCUGGGUUCAGAACGUCGUGAGACAGUUCGGUCCCUAUCUUCCGUGGGCGUAGGAAAGUUGAGGAGAUUUGCCCCUAGUACGAGAGGACCGGGGUGAACGUACCACUGGUGUACCAAUUGUUCUGCCAAGAGCAUCGUUGGGUAGCUACGUACGGAUGAGAUAAGCGCUGAAAGCAUCUAAGCACGAAGCCAACUCCAAGAUGAACUUUCCCUGAAGAUCCCAGUAAGACUAACUGGUUGAUAGGCUAGAUGUGUAAGCGUUGUAAGACGUUUAGCUGACUAGUACUAAUAGAUCGUUCGGCUUAUUUAU
Molecule: ribosomal RNA, 1328 nt
Filed under: bioreactor metagenome
Description: bacterial LSU rRNA
Rfam family: Bacterial large subunit ribosomal RNA
Source: RNAcentral